AUUGAACGCUGGCGGCAUGCCUUACACAUGCAAGUCGAACGGCAGCACGGGAGCAAUCCUGGUGGCGAGUGGCGAACGGGUGAGUAAUACAUCGGAACGUGCCCAGUAGUGGGGGAUAACCCGGCGAAAGCCGGACUAAUACCGCGUACGACCUACGGGUGAAAGCAGGGGAUCUCAUGGCAACAUGCGACCUUGCGCUAUCGGAGCGGCCGAUGUCAGAUAGCUAGUUGGUGGGGUAAAAGCCUACCAAGGCGACGAUCUGUAGCUGGUCUGAGAGGACGACCAGCCACACUGGGACUGA
RNAcentral lists this ribosomal RNA (301 nucleotides) under uncultured bacterium. RNAcentral describes it as "bacterial SSU rRNA". It matches the Rfam family "Bacterial small subunit ribosomal RNA", at positions 30 to 322 of the family's 1533-position model. The record is from RNAcentral.